RNAcentral lists this long non-coding RNA (1184 nucleotides) under Sus scrofa (pig). RNAcentral's name for it is "lncRNA (ENSSSCG00045025788.1)". Lineage: Eukaryota; Metazoa; Chordata; Mammalia; Artiodactyla; Suidae. The record is from RNAcentral.
CUAAGACAUUUUUCCUUUUCAUAUUUGAACUUUUCUGAAAUCAAGGUAUAUCUUCAAGUGAUGCCCCUUCAUAAAUACUUAGCAGUACUUUCUCAAGUCUGUAUGAAAGCACUGUGGGUCCUACACGUCAAAGACAAGCUUUCUAGUCCGCAAACUGCAGUGGCUCUCAUUGGCCCAAGCACAUCACGUGUCUCUCACCCGCCAAUCACUGCAACUCUGGUUGGGAAGCCAUAGGCUCAUCUCUGGUGUUAACUGGUUGGAGUCAGCAUCACCUAAGCAAAAGGAGCGACAGAGGAAUGGCAGUUUCUGAGAGGAAAAUCAGAGUGUCACUGCCCCCCGGAGAGAUGGCUGUGGAUUCCCGGCAGGCAGAAACAACUGCUGCCUCCUCUGCUCAGAGUCAUUCCGGAAUUCGGUCAAGUUGGCCAUGUCAGAGAAAGCCUCAGAAGGUGGUCAUUUUGCCAUUGACUUUAACAGCUAGACUGACACUCAUUCCCCGCGGUAGCUGGUGUGUGCUGAACCUGUCACCGCCUCUUCAAAACAUUGCUGGUUUCCAUGGAAACAAAAAAGCACUUACUGAAAGAGCUGCUGGAAAUUUCGAGUCAAGAUGUCCAAAACUGUCCCUGUGAUAUAUUUUUCUAAGACCUGAUUUGAAAGAGAAACAAUAGCGCAACUUGGCAAAGAAGACAAAGGAAGAUAAAUGAUAAUUAAAAACGGCUUGGCACCAUGUCUAGAUCCCAACAUCCGGUCGCGAUGCUGUCCUUUUCAAAAUCAGGUCCAGGGAGAUAUUGGGUGAAGAAGCACCACUGACCCACAGGCCCCUGACUUCAGACAUGGCUUUGUUAUGGACACGAGCCUAUCUGCUGUUCACAGGGUUUAAAUCUUGACAGGCUUAUGCAGCAACAUGACUCUGAAUACACUUGCUAAAUGAACCUCUUGCAUGCCAAUCUACCUCCUACUCUCUGAGCUAAAAAAGAGCUCUGCAACUCGGAUGAUUAUAUACCUAUUUUUUCAAUCCACUCUGUAAGGCGGGAACGUGAAAUGAAAGAUAAUAGCUUCCUUUAACCGUUGUUAGAUUGGCAUACCAGAAGGUGAGAUUUUCUUUUAAACUCCUCAUGAAGAUAUUUAAUUAAAUUUUUUUUGUUGGCCACCCUGUGGCUUAUGGAGUUCCCCGACCAGGGAUCGAA